Long non-coding RNA from Varanus komodoensis (Komodo dragon), 225 nucleotides. RefSeq lists it as uncharacterized. The record is from RefSeq and is a predicted model, not a curated record. Lineage: Eukaryota; Metazoa; Chordata; Lepidosauria; Squamata; Varanidae. The transcript has 2 exons.
CCGGUAUCUCUGGAAUGCAGAGUAAGAUCGAAAGGCGAUAGGGAUGUUUGCUGCCUGGACAUCAGACACGGGGCCGGGCUGUGCGCUCCCGCAGGAACUUGUUCUUGCUGGCAGCGUGCGUAAAAGUAUCUACAGGGGAUUCGAAGCCUUUUCAGAACCAUGUGACGUGUAAGGUUUUGGCCAUGUGAUGCUCCGUUUACUAUGCAUUAUAAAAAGAGGACCUGA